Long non-coding RNA from Ostrinia nubilalis (European corn borer), 1632 nucleotides. RefSeq lists it as uncharacterized. The transcript has 2 exons. The record is from RefSeq and is a predicted model, not a curated record. NCBI's taxonomy places the organism in Eukaryota, Metazoa, Arthropoda, Insecta, Lepidoptera, Crambidae.
UGUAUAGAAAGUAAGUAGGUACGUCAUAUUUUUCUUAGGUUCCGUUAUUACUAUUUUACACAAUACUUUGAGAAUAGUAACUGAGUAUUAUUUAUUUAUUUUUAACAGAGUUGUAAAGUUGCCUUUUUAAACUGUACUUUCUCAAUUAUUUAUUUAAUACUAGCUGACCCGGCGAACUUUGUUCCGUCUUAAUGGCAAUAAAUAAGCAGACUUUUUUUUAUUUUGAACGGGAUAAAAAGUAUCCUAUGUCCUUCUCCUGGCUCUAAACUACCUCCCUGACAAUUUUCAGCUAAAUCGGUUCAGCCGUUCUUGAGUUAUGUGGAGUAACUAACACGACUUUCUUUUAGUAUACAGGGUGGAAACGAUAAGUGAUCUCACCCGAUUAUUUCUAAACUAUACAAGAUAUCGAAAAACUGGUUACUGAUCUUGAAAGUGCUUCACGAGCUCUUUCAAACGGUGCUAAUAAUAGGUUUCAGAAUAAACUGGAACUAUCUGAAAAUUUAAUGUUUCCAGCUUCCAUACAUUUGGUAAAGUUACAUAAUUUUAAAAACUACACAAGAUAUCGUAAAACUGGUAACUGAUCCUAAAAGUGCUUCACGAGCUCUAUCCAACGGUAUCAAUAUCAAGUUACAGAAUAAACUGGAUCUAUUCUAAAAUUAAAUGUUUCCGUCUUCCAUACAUUUAGUACUAUCACAGUCAUGGCACUCAUCUCUUGAUAAUUUUAUAGCAAGUAAAGCCUAAAACUAAUGCUUUUCACAAAUAAUUUUAAAUAAGAUACAAGUUACGAGUUUAUUUAACCGCCUUUUUAAGUUUAUUAUUUAAGAAAAAAAUAAAUUACACUUUUAAUUUGUGUCGUCGGCAUACAUUUAGUAUGGAAGCUGGAAACAUUGAAUUUUGGGAUAGUUCCAGUUUAUUCUGUAACCUAUUAUUGGUACCGUUUGAAAGAGCUUGUGAAGCACUUUCAGGAUCAGUAACCAGUUUUUCGAUAUCUAUAUAUAUAAAAAUGAAACCCGUUUUCCGUUGUCACGACAUAACAUGAAAACGGGUUGACCGAUUUGGCUGAUUUUUUUUUGUAGUUUUCUAAUACUCUGUACAAGGUUUUUACGGAAAAAAAUAUAAAGAAAAUCUCUACGCUAAGGCGGUACGAAGUUCGCCGGGUCAGCUAGUCUUGUAUAGUUUAGAAAUAAUCGAGUGACAUCACUUAUCGUUUCCACCCUGUAUAGAUAGAUUGACUUAAGUAUGUUAUUCUAAUGAUGGUAGUUCAUUCAUGAACAUGAUUUUGAAAUUACUUACAAUUUGAGACAAUAUUAUAGUUAUUAAUAGGUAUUUUAACUAAGUUCUUUACUAAACAAAAAAUACACCGAAACUAAUAAAAUGUUUUGUUUGUAUUAAACACGAACUAUUUAUUACUAAUGAAGUCUUGAUUACUAUCAAUACUAAUUUACGACAAAAAGUAUAUUUUCCAUUUUUUUUUGUAAUUCAUUCUACCACUAUAAUUUGUUUUUUUUUUAUUGUAAGAGAAAAAAUAUUUUUGUUUUAUAAUUGUUAUUGUGUUUAAAUUGUGUCCCUGUCUGCAUGAUACAAAUAACAUUUAAGUAACAUAACGCCUUAAUAAAGUUUACUAAACUAAAA